AAACAAAAAACAUAUGUACAUAUUCAUGUAAGAGGUUAAAGGAGAAAUUCAAGAAAUCUGAAGCAGCGCGCGUUCAAGUUCUUGAAAACGACGCAAAUGCCAUCUCUACAUCGCCAGAGGACUGAAAAUCUUACGUAAAUAGCGAUGAGAACGAAAUCUCAUGAUGGAGGCAGGGCUAAAACUUCUACAAAACCCUCCCAUCCUACUGUGAGGGCAAUUCCUCGAGUGAGUCAGGAUGCAGAUGGUGCAGCUGUGCCUAAAAUAUCCAAUGAGAGUAAUCGUGAUCUGCUAGAUGUUAGAGAGGUGGAUUCAAAAGACAAUUUGGAUAAUGUAAUUCAUGAGGGCUCUAAUAGAAUGCCUCAUGAGAGUCUAGGUCAUGACAACAUUUGUACAGAUGUUUUUGAUGGAAAGAUUUGCAUCCGUUGCAAUGAAGGUGGAGAAGUAUUAAUUUGCAGUGAAAGUGGUUGUCCUGUUACUGUCCAUGCAAAAUGUAUCAGCUGCAAACCUAAAUUUGAUGGUAUAGGGAACUACUACUGCCCUUAUUGCUGGUUAAAACGAACUUUGGCAGAGGUCCAAGUAUUGAGGAAAAAGGCCUUAACAGCGAAGAAAGAUUUGUCUGACUUUUUAGGUAACAGUGGGAGCAUGAGUAGUAAGUUGGCCCAAAAUUACGGGGAAGCAGGAAAAGAUUCCAACGAGUUAUCCCUUGGGGGAAAUGGGAGCCGCAUGGAUUACAAGAGUGGGCAGGAAAAUGGCAGUGCAUGCGCAUGGUCCUUGCAGAGAGUGGAAGAUCAACAAAAAGAAACGGAAGGAGUGACAUCUAGUGCUGAUCAACAUGAAAUAGCAGUUGAAGAUGAAACUCAUGCAAAUGCUGAAGUGGCCAAUACUGGUUCUAUGCAUCAUGUGGAAGAAAAGACACCAGAGCAUAUGGAUCUGAUUGAUAAAUCCAUGACCAGGGAGAAAGUUGAUCAUAAAAUUUCAGAGGCACAUAAAACCACUUUUGUUGAAGGAAAAGAGGGGAUUGAACCAGAGCAUCCAAAAUAUAGUGAUAAAAGCCUUGACGAAGGGAUCCCUGAGGAUGAAGAGGAAGUAUCCCCUUCGAGCUCAUACCAUUUGGGAAAACACAAAGAUGGACCCUCACCUGAUAUUGCAAUUGUCAAAGGGACACAAGAAAGUGGUGCUGUGACUGUAGAUAAAAAGGACACAAGGCAAGACAGAGAGAAGUUGCUCCAGAAUGAAUCAAGGACGCCUUCAAUGGGUACUUCUGUCAGUGAAACUGAUGAUUCAGGUUCUGAAGCUCUCUUAAUGAAGAAAAGACGUGUCAAACAUAUGGCAAAGAGGCAUCCUCAGAGAGUUAUGAAUGCUGAGGGUGAAACUGGUUGUCACAAAGAUGAGGAAGUUACCAGUUCUGGAACUUUGAGACGGGUCCAGAAAUCUUCUAAGCAAGGCAAAAAACUGACUUUACCAGCUAGAAAGCGGAAGAGAUUACGCUGGACAACUGAAGAAGAAAAUAAACUAAAGGAAGGAGUUUCAAGAUUCUCAAAGGAAAACCGGAAUAUCCCUUGGAGGAAAAUUUUAGAAUUUGGUUGUGAUGUAUUUGAUACUACACGCACCCCAAUUGAUCUUAAGGAUAAAUGGAGGACCAUGACAGUGGGGCCAGGACACAGUCGACCUUGGGAGAUUUCUGCAGACUAAGGGAAAGCAAUGCGUUUUUCUCAAUCACGUUUUGUCCGACUUUGAGGACUUUGUUUCUCAAUUUCUGCACUCCCGGUAACAUGCAGAGGGAAUACAAAACUUUUAGGUACUAAAACAAAAUCCUUGUAUGUGGGUUUCUCCCCCCCCCUCUCUGUCUCUCUCUCUCACGCACACAGAACAAUGGGAUCUUGAAGAAAUCCUUGUCGAGGCUUCUAUACACAUUAUAUAGCACAAGAGGGUCUUUGAUCGUAGAUAAUGAAAAAGAAGACUCCAAAAAUUUUGAUAUCUCACUACAAGGUUGGGGUUCUGAUUUGAAAUUAAUUUUAAAAGCCAAAUGAUAAAGUUGCCUUCAUUGUGAGAACACCAUCGAGGAAUAAAAAAUGUCUCACAAACACGUCUUGCAAGCACAUAAAAACAAGGUAUGUAGUGAGGUUCUUCAUACCAAUAUAUAUGUUAUAUAUUGGUAUGUCCUUAGUAACUUUGCCUAAUACUUUGUGCGCUUAUUGAUGAAUUGUAUCAAUAUAUCUCGAUCAUACUAGUAUAUGUUAUUCUUCCCUAUAUAUGUGUUACAUACUGGUAUCUCCUUCUCAAUUACUCCUCUUUGCUUGUGGAGAACUCAUAUUGAUAUAUUCAUCUCAUACUGGUAUAUUCAUGAGGAAAUGUUUCCCCAGUCGACAUUCAUCUCAAGGAUUGGUGUAAGCAAACUUUGUUUAGUUAAGCAUUCAUCACCAUGAGGAAAUGUCAUCUCAAUUGACAUAUAAUGUAUGAUCUUUGCAAGCUCUGAAUGCAUGCUUCCAUAUUUUGUAAGGGCAAGGGAGAAGGAGUGCUUGUUGUCACAAAAUUGGGAGGGCUUAAUGAACUUCCCUCCUUAAGUCCUAGCAACCUCAUUAUGCUGCAUUAAUAAGUGACAAAGGAAGUUAGCAACUUAGUGUAUGUUAACCAGAAGGGAAAUUAACAAAUUUGUUAAAAUUAACAACUUACUUUUCUUGAAACUUUAACUGUGAUGUUUGUGCAAUAUACACAUGACCAUUGGUUUGGUUCUCCUCAA
Molecule: RNA transcript, 2740 nt
Organism: Prosopis cineraria
Lineage: Eukaryota; Viridiplantae; Streptophyta; Magnoliopsida; Fabales; Fabaceae
Exons: 6
Source: RefSeq, a predicted model, not a curated record